AAGUCGUAACAAGGUUUCCGUAGGUGAACCUGCGGAAGGAUCAUUACUGAGAUAGGGUUCUUUACGAGCCCGACCUCCAACCCUUUGUCUACCAAACCACUGUUGCCUCGGCGGGUCGCCGGCGUCUUUACGGGCGCCGCCGUCGGCCUUUACGCUCUCGAGUGCCCGCCGUAGGACCAAUAAACUCUUUAUUAAACAAGUAUAUCUGAGUGAGAAUCAAUGCUUCAAAUAAAA
This 234-nucleotide unclassified non-coding RNA is filed under the name plant metagenome. RNAcentral's name for it is "partial contains small subunit ribosomal RNA and internal transcribed spacer 1". The stretch from base 1 to 46 matches the Rfam family "Eukaryotic small subunit ribosomal RNA", at positions 1786 to 1831 of the family's 1831-position model. The record is from RNAcentral.